UGGGGAAUAUUGGACAAUGGGCGAAAGCCUGAUCCAGCGACGCCGCGUGUCGGAAGGAGUCCUUCGGGAUGUAAACGACUUUUGGUGGAGACGAAUAAGCAGCUCAGGGAAUGGGGCUGUGAUGACGGUAUCCAUGGAAUAAGCCCCGGCUAACUACGUGCCAGCAGCCGCGGUAAUACGUAGGGGGCAAGCGUUGUCCGGAAUGAUUGGGCGUAAAGCGCGCGCAGGCGGUCCUUUAAGUCUGAUGUGAAAGCCCGCAGCUUAACUGCGGAGGGUCAUUGGAAACUGGGGGACUUGAGGCUAGGAGAGGGAAGUGGAAUUCCUGGUGUAGCGGUGAAAUGCGCAGAUAUCCGGAGGAACACCAGUGGCGAAGGCGGCCUCCUGGGCCAUUCCUGACACUCAGACGCGAAAGCUAGGGUAGCAAACGG
This 428-nucleotide ribosomal RNA is filed under the name uncultured bacterium. Its description in RNAcentral is "bacterial SSU rRNA". It matches the Rfam family "Bacterial small subunit ribosomal RNA", at positions 355 to 775 of the family's 1533-position model. The record is from RNAcentral.